RNAcentral lists this microRNA (22 nucleotides) under Homo sapiens (human). Its description in RNAcentral is "Hsa-Mir-34-P3a-v1_3p* (star (passenger))". RNAcentral also lists the same sequence under 1 other name. Lineage: Eukaryota; Metazoa; Chordata; Mammalia; Primates; Hominidae. The record is from RNAcentral.
CAGUUGCUAGUUGCACUCCUCU